GAGGAAGCCGGUGAGAAUCCGGCGCGGUCCCGCCACUGUCAGCACGGCCGCACACCGCGGCGGUGCGAGCCAGGAACUC
RNAcentral lists this non-coding RNA (79 nucleotides) under Streptomyces albus. The record is from RNAcentral. Lineage: Bacteria; Bacillati; Actinomycetota; Actinomycetes; Kitasatosporales; Streptomycetaceae.